This is a non-coding RNA of Propithecus coquereli (Coquerel's sifaka), 450 nucleotides long. NCBI's taxonomy places the organism in Eukaryota, Metazoa, Chordata, Mammalia, Primates, Indriidae. The record is from the annotation of a RefSeq genome assembly.
AUGAACUCCUUGAGAGUUUUACUCGUGAUUCUAUGGCUUCAGUUAAACUGGGUGAGGAGCCAACAGGAGGUGGAGCAGACUCCCAAAUCCCUCACUGUUUCUGAAGGAGCCACUGCGUCUCUCAGCUGCACUUAUAGCAACACUGCUUUUCAGUAGUUCACGUGGUACAAACAGUAUUCUGGCAAAGGCCCUGAGUUGCUGAUGUUCAUAUACUCUGCUGGUGACAAAGAAGAAGGAAGGUUUACAGCACAGCUCAAUAAAGCCAGCCGAAAUGUUUCCCUACUCAUCAGAGACUCCCAGCUCAGUGACUCAGCCACCUACCUCUGUGCAGUCAGCACACAGUGCUCCCCAGGCACCUGCAGCCUGCACCCAAACCUGCUGGGGCCUCAGGAACUCCUGAUACAGACAGAGCUUAGACUGCAGGGCGGAGAAGUUCUGUUUGCUCUCUAG